CCUACGGGGGGCAGCAGUGGGGAAUAUUGCGCAAUGGGCGAAAGCCUGACGCAGCGACGCCGCGUGAGGGAUGAAGGUCUUCGGAUCGUAAACCUCUGUCAGCAGGGAAGAACGGUCACUGUGCUAAUCAGCAGUGAAUUGACGGUACCUGCAAAGGAAGCACCGGCUAACUCCGUGCCAGCAGCCGCGGUAAUACGGAGGGUGCGAGCGUUAAUCGGAAUUACUGGGCGUAAAGCGCUCGUAGGCGGUAUGUCAAGUCAAGGGUGAAAUCCCCGCGCUCAACGUGGGAACUGCCUUUGAAACUGGCAGACUGGAGUGUGUGAGAGGAUAGUGGAAUUCCAGGUGUAGGAGUGAAAUCCGUAGAUAUCUGGAAGAACAUCGGUGGCGAAGGCGACUAUCUGGCACAUCACUGACGCUGAGGAGCGAAAGCGUGGGUAGCAAACAGGAUUAGAUACCCGGGUAGUC
This 465-nucleotide ribosomal RNA is filed under the name uncultured bacterium. RNAcentral's name for it is "partial 16S ribosomal RNA". It matches the Rfam family "Bacterial small subunit ribosomal RNA", at positions 338 to 795 of the family's 1533-position model. The record is from RNAcentral.